Molecule: small RNA, 711 nt
Filed under: Cryptococcus neoformans H99
Lineage: Eukaryota; Fungi; Basidiomycota; Tremellomycetes; Tremellales; Cryptococcaceae
Description: Cryptococcus neoformans var. grubii H99 hypothetical RNA
Source: RNAcentral
CUUAGAUAUAAUCUAUCUUCGUAUAUGCGCCUUAUAGGCAAACGCUUUAUAGCGCAAAUACAGCAGGACUGUAUCAGCAACACCAGCGUGCUCGACAUGGGACCCGAGCUUAACUAAUUGUUGACACUAUACUAAACUAUCACCAGAUACAUGGGGUAUUUCCAUCGUAUGUACUAUGACCACCACAGCCAAAGCUUUGGGAGGCUAUAUUCCCUAGCAGCCUUUACCGUCGUAAAGUCCGUCAUCAGCCUUGGAUAUCUCAUGGGUGGUGGCCGACGGAACCUAAUGGAUGGAUGUCCGUGGGAGACUGGGGUUUUACGCUACAGCGUCUCGACCCCGAUCCCAAAACUGAGCCUGAAAUGAGCCUGAUAUUGGCUGUCUGAACAGAAUCUGAACGGAUCUGGACCGAUCUGCAAGAAUUGACUCCCCUCAACCAACAUCGUAUUGAAUUCGUGGAGCUUAAACUUAGAAUGGCAGAUCACACCUGCAACAACGAAUGCACUCACGAACUGACUAUGCACUUUACUGCUCUUUCGUCUUCCUCCGACGUCCGUUUCGUUGUUGCCGUUCCCCACACUACAGUUGUACUUAGUGCUGUGUUUUUAUGUUGAUGGGGGUUGGCAGGAAACGAAAGAUCCGCUGGAGAUAAGAACUACGAGCUUCGACAGGAAGUUUGCAGUAGUAUGCCACAUGUCGGAUGAGAUAUCCAUC